AAGUAAUGAACGUCGACUAAUACCUGCCACAUCGUGUGGCAAACGUCGACGCCAGCCCAUCCUGGGCA
This 68-nucleotide small RNA is filed under the name Bacillus sp. CECT 9360. RNAcentral describes it as "Bacillaceae-1". It matches the Rfam family "Bacillaceae-1 RNA". The record is from RNAcentral. Lineage: Bacteria; Bacillati; Bacillota; Bacilli; Caryophanales; Bacillaceae.